Molecule: ribosomal RNA, 467 nt
Filed under: uncultured bacterium
Lineage: Bacteria
Description: partial 16S ribosomal RNA
Rfam family: Bacterial small subunit ribosomal RNA
Source: RNAcentral
GACGAACGCUGGCGGCGUGCUUAACACAUGCAAGUCGAACGGAAAGGCCCUGCUUUUGUGGGGUGCUCGAGUGGCGAACGGGUGAGUAACACGUGAGUAACCUGCCCUUGACUUUGGGAUAACUUCAGGAAACUGGGGCUAAUACCGGAUAGGAGCUCCUGCUGCAUGGUGGGGGUUGGAAAGUUUCGGCGGUUGGGGAUGGACUCGCGGCUUAUCAGCUUGUUGGUGGGGUAGUGGCUUACCAAGGCUUUGACGGGUAGCCGGCCUGAGAGGGUGACCGGCCACAUUGGGAUCGAGUUCCGGCACAGCCUCCUACGGGGGGCAGCAGUGGGGAAUAUUGCACAAUGGGCGGAAGCCUGAUGCAGCACCCCCGCGGGCGGGAUGACGCCCUUCGGGUUGUAAACCGCUUUCGCCUGUGACGAAGCGUGAGUGACGGUAAUGGGUAAAGAAGCACCGGCUAACUACGU